UUAAUGGCCUUUAUUCUCUCCAUGAAGUUAAAGGUAACAUCUUCCACUGAGAUGAGGACAGAAGGAGACUUAAGAAAGGGAUAAGAAUCUGGACUGUUUGCCCCAACAACUGGGGGAGAGAGUUGACACAGAUACAUUGUCAGGAAGAUUUGAGGACCCAGAUGAAUGUCUAAAGUUGGCAAGCCCAGAGCUCUGCUCCACAAAGUCACUCAGGCGUUUGGAAGCUCCACCAUGAUGGGACACUGCCAUUUCAAAAUAAAUAAAGUGGCUACAGGGUAUGCUGUGGCAAGAAAGGCAGAACGUGAAGAACUCGCACCCUCAUUUUCACUUCUACUCGCUUGGCAAGGGAGUCUAGGAAAUCCAGGAAGAGGAAAAGGAACGAGAAACAGUAAGAACUGACUUUACAUCCAGGAAGUUACCUCUCCUAGGAGGAAGCUCUGUGAGCUCAAAAGAUCACUGGACUUGGAGGCAAGAGAACUGUUUGAUUUUGGACAAGUCACUUGGCUUUCCUGGGCCUUAACCUACAAAAUGAGAAACUUUGAUGAGACCGUGGGAAGAGGAACAUUGGGACCUUAGAAUCUUGUCCUGUCACACAGGCUCAAGGCUUUAGACGUUUUCACAGAUCACAGAGUGACACCAGAGAGGUCACUAAGAAGAUGAAGCUUUUACCGGCCCCUGUGGAACCUGUGGGACUCUGGUGUCCCAAUAACCAAGGCUCAUCAGGAAGUGAGCAGCAUAGCACGUGCUUCCCUGGAUUUCUUUAAGGUCCUAGGAUCCACAGAAGGAGUGAUUCUACCAGGAAACAGAGUUACGUGAAAUAAAAUGGAAACAGAAUGUUACCAGAUCAUUUUGGGUUCCUCAUGCCACCAAGCCAACAGUCUGGGAAGCAAGUCUAUGUACUGGCCAAGAUUAUUGACCCCAACGAGGAAGAAAUUGGGUUACUGCCACACAACAGAGGAGUACAUGUGAAACCCAGGGAGUCACUGGGUCACCUCUGAGCAUCUUCUUGUCCAAUAUUUGUGGUCAAUGGGAAACUGCAGUGAUCUAACAAAAACAAUACCACUGAGGACUCAGAUCCUGCAGAAAUGAAGGACUGGGUCACCAGCUGGGUUAAAAACACCAUCCAGCUGAGGCUGCAACAGAGGUAAGGGGAACACGGAAUGGGUGGUAGAAGAAGGCUGCUAUGAUUAGGAAGGAAGAAGGCUGUGUGACCAGCUACAGAGUCAGGGGCUUUAGCAGCUAUAUUUUAUAUCACUAAACUGUUUCUCUAACUCGCUUAACACCUCUUCUUCUUGUUAUCUUAUGUGAAAGAGCAUCAGCGGCAUAUAAUAUUUUAGGUGGGAGUACGACAUACUGGCAUCAUCUCUAAUAAGAUAGCUGAUGGUAUUUCCUGCAUCUCCUUUGUUGGGUUUCAACCAGAGAAAGGAAAAAGAGUGGAUACUGAGGGGCAAAAGGGACUAGCUGUGCUAGAUAUCUUCUGAUGCACCUCAUAUCUGCUCUCCACCUUUCUCCACCCCAUGUCUUGCAAGCCUGACAUGUAUGGACUAUAUCAAAGGGCUCUCUUUUACUCUGGAUUCCAGUUGAAUUUGGCUAAUGGAGAGCCACAGCAGGAGUCAGGAAAGAACAUGGAGAGUAAGGUUAGGGUGUCUAUUCUCCUUGCUCCCUCCUGUGUCCCACAAUCAAAGGUUAGUGCUACUCUUUCCAGCAACUGCUCCCUCAUCUCCUUCCUUCAGAUUUAGGAGUGGUAACGGGCUCUGUUGUUGUUAGCCCAGGACACCAAAUUGUAAAUUAUCCAUUAUUAAAUCCUCCUUGAAUUAUCUUAAUUUGAAUGUGCCAUCUGUUUUCAGGUAGGACCCUGACUAAUACAAGUAGCAUAACACAAUCAAAGACAUUUUUUUGUGUGUGUGUGAGGAAGAUCAGCCCUGAGCUAACAUCCAUACCAA
Molecule: long non-coding RNA, 1943 nt
Organism: Diceros bicornis minor
Lineage: Eukaryota; Metazoa; Chordata; Mammalia; Perissodactyla; Rhinocerotidae
Exons: 4
Source: RefSeq, a predicted model, not a curated record